UACGUAGGGGGCAAGCGUUGUCCGGAUUUAUUGGGCGUAAAGAGCGUGUAGGCGGCUUGGCAAGUCCGCUGUGAAAACUUGAGGCUUAACCUCGAGACGUCGGUGGAAACUGCCUGGCUAGAGUCCGGAAGAGGAGAGUGGAAUUCCUGGUGUAGCGGUGAAAUGCGCAGAUAUCAGGAAGAACACCCGUGGCUAAGGCGGCUCUCUAGUACGGUACUGACGCUGAGACGCGAAAGCGUGGGGAGCGAACAGG
Molecule: ribosomal RNA, 253 nt
Filed under: uncultured bacterium
Lineage: Bacteria
Description: partial 16S ribosomal RNA
Rfam family: Bacterial small subunit ribosomal RNA
Source: RNAcentral